GAUGAACGCUGGCGGCGUGCCUAAUACAUGCAAGUCGAGCGAACAGAUGAGGAGCUUGCUCCUCUGACGUUAGCGGCGGACGGGUGAGUAACACGUGGAUAACCUACCUAUAAGACUGGGAUAACUUCGGGAAACCGGAGCUAAUACCGGAUAAUAUAUUGAACCGCAUGGUUCAAUAGUGAAAGACGGUUUUGCUGUCACUUAUAGAUGGAUCCGCGCCGCAUUAGCUAGUUGGUAAGGUAACGGCUUACCAAGGCAACGAUGCGUAGCCGACCUGAGAGGGUGAUCGGCCACACUGGAACUGGGACACGGUCCAGACUCCUACGGGAGGCAGCAGUAGGGAAUCUUCCGCAAUGGGCGAAAGCCUGGCGGAGCAACGCCGCGUGAGUGAUGAAGGUCUUCGGAUCGUAAAACUCUGUUAUUAGGGAAGAACAAAUGUGUAAGUAACUAUGCACGUCUUGACGGUACCUAAUCAGAAAGCCACGGCUAACUACGUG
This 497-nucleotide ribosomal RNA is filed under the name uncultured bacterium. RNAcentral's name for it is "partial 16S ribosomal RNA". It matches the Rfam family "Bacterial small subunit ribosomal RNA", at positions 28 to 507 of the family's 1533-position model. The record is from RNAcentral.